Molecule: ribosomal RNA, 484 nt
Filed under: uncultured bacterium
Lineage: Bacteria
Description: partial 16S ribosomal RNA
Rfam family: Bacterial small subunit ribosomal RNA
Source: RNAcentral
AUUGAACGCUCGCGGGAUGCUUUACACAUGCAAGUCGAACGGCAGCGCGGACUUCGGUCUGGCGGCGAGUGGCGAACGGGUGAGUAAUGUAUCGGAACGUGCCCAGUAGCGGGGGAUAACUACGCGGAAGCGUAGCUAAUACCGCAUACGCCCUACGGGGGAAAGCAGGGGAUCGUAAGACCUUGCACUAUUGGAGCGGCCGAUAUCGGAUUAGCUAGUUGGUGAGGUAACGGCUCACCAAGGCGACGAUCCGUAGCUGGUUUGAGAGGACGACCAGCCACACUGGGACUGAGACACGGCCCAGACUCCUACGGGAGGCAGCAGUGGGGAAUUUUGGACAAUGGGGGCAACCCUGAUCCAGCCAUCCCGCGUGUGCGAUGAAGGCCUUCGGGUUGUAAAGCACUUUUGGCAGGAAAGAAACGUCGCGGGCUAAUACCCCGUGGAACUGACGGUACCUGCAGAAUAAGCACCGGCUAACUACGUG